This 1187-nucleotide ribosomal RNA is filed under the name Grosmannia serpens. RNAcentral's name for it is "LSU rRNA". The stretch from base 282 to 1187 matches the Rfam family "Eukaryotic large subunit ribosomal RNA", at positions 1 to 934 of the family's 3401-position model. RNAcentral also lists the same sequence under 2 other names. Lineage: Eukaryota; Fungi; Ascomycota; Sordariomycetes; Ophiostomatales; Ophiostomataceae. The record is from RNAcentral.
UUCAGCGAGCCAUCGAAUCUUUGAACGCACAUUGCGCCCGCCAGUAUUCUGGCGGGCAUGCCUGUCCGAGCGUCAUUUCCUCCCUCACGCAGCGCGCCUGCGUGGUGUUGGGGCGUUCUGCGGCCAGGCCUGCGACUAGCAGGCCGCCGCAGCCCCCGAAAGCCAGUGGCGGGCCGGCAGCGGGCUCCGAGCGCAGUAAGCAGCAGUGCCCUCGCUCUGGACGCCCCCGCCUGCGCCCUGCCCCAAAGACGGCAGACGCGAGUCUCCCUCCUUCUCAAGGUUGACCUCGGAUCAGGUAGGACUACCCGCUGAACUUAAGCAUAUCAAUAAGCGGAGGAAAAGAAACCAACAGGGAUUGCCCCAGUAACGGCGAGUGAAGCGGCAACAGCUCAGAUUUGGAAUCUGGCCCCCAGGGCCCGAGUUGUAAUCUGGAGAGGAUGCUUCUGGCGCGGCGCCUUCCGAGUUCCCUGGAACGGGACGCCGGAGAGGGUGAGAGCCCCGUACGGUCGGACGCCUAGCCUUUGUGAAGCUCCUUCGACGAGUCGAGUAGUUUGGGAAUGCUGCUCAAAAUGGGAGGUAAAUUUCUUCUAAAGCUAAAUAUUGGCCAGAGACCGAUAGCGCACAAGUAGAGUGAUCGAAAGAUGAAAAGCACUUUGAAAAGAGGGUUAAACAGUACGUGAAAUUGUUGAAAGGGAAGCGCCCGUGGCCAGACUUGUGCCCCGCGGACCACCCGGCGCCCUCAGCGCCGGUGCACUCCGCGGGGCGCAGGCCAGCAUCGGUUUUUCCAGGGGGACAAAGGCGGCGGGAACGUGGCUCCCUCGGGAGUGUUAUAGCCCGCCGCGCCAUGCCCCUGGGGGGACCGAGGACCGCGCUUCGGCAAGGAUGCUGGCGUAAUGGCCACCGGCGACCCGUCUUGAAACACGGACCAAGGAGUCAAGCAUUGGGGCGAGUGUCUGGGUGCCAAACCCGCACGCGAAAUGAAAGUGAACGCAGGUGAGAGCUUCGGCGCAUCAUCGACCGAUCCUGAUGUUCUCGGAUGGAUUUGAGUAAGAGCCUUACCGCUUGGACCCGAAAGAUGGUGAACUAUGCCUGUAUAGGGUGAAGCCAGAGGAAACUCUGGUGGAGGCUCGCAGCGGUUCUGACGUGCAAAUCGAUCGUCAAAUAUGGGCAUGGGGGCGAAAGACUAA